CUUUCUUUUAUUCUCUCUCUCUCUCUUUUUUUAUUUUAAACCUUUUUUUUCUUUUUCUUUUUUUUACUUUGGGUGUAUAUGCCUUCGAACAUUUAACUUUAACAAUUGUGCUGAAAAUAUAUAUGUGUGGAUCUAACGCGGCAGAUGAGUGGCAGAGGAGCUGGGGAGCCAUCAGCUGCAGCGGCUGGUGGAUCUGCUGACGGUGCACGAGUGUGAGGAGCUCUUCCUGGCCCUAACCAAUCCCGAGGAGAAGGUUUUUAAACAGCUGCAGCGCCUGUCUGCAGAGAAGAACCCGCUGAGACCACACCCCCGCACACCACGAGACAUAGGUACAGAGUUUCACUUCACUGAUCUUUACCUUCUCUUAACGUCUCCUCAGGCAGAACAAAUCCACACGCAAGAUCUUCAGUCUGUUGUAAAGGAUGAAAUAUGAGCCUGUUUUUUUACUUUGAUACAGUGGUGCUUGAAAGUUUGUGAAUCUUGCAUAAAUAUGACCUAAAACAUCAAUAGAUAAGUUAAGAUAAGGUAAUAGACAAAAAUGUUCUAGUCUUAUAGUUUAAUGACCCA
Molecule: long non-coding RNA, 567 nt
Filed under: Astyanax mexicanus (Mexican tetra)
Lineage: Eukaryota; Metazoa; Chordata; Actinopteri; Characiformes; Acestrorhamphidae
Description: lncRNA (ENSAMXG00005020807.1)
Source: RNAcentral